CUGUGUGCAAUAACAAUUAAUAAAAGAAAAGUUUUACUUAUCUUUUUAUAGCGGCGAGGCUCACUGGGCACUGUGCAACUCUCUUCGUCAAGCAGGCAUGGCCUCCUCUGACGAUGGUCCAAUUCAAUGCUCCUCAUAAAGUAAUAUUGGGGACUUGAUGCAUCCAAGCACUGCAUGCUUAUCUAGGCUUCUUCAUAGGCUUUCCUAUAACCUUUCAUGUCAUGUGACUGAGUUUUACUCGGUCAGUGCAGCAGAUG
Molecule: non-coding RNA, 257 nt
Organism: Pelobates cultripes (western spadefoot toad)
Lineage: Eukaryota; Metazoa; Chordata; Amphibia; Anura; Pelobatidae
Source: the annotation of a GenBank genome assembly